RNAcentral lists this ribosomal RNA (205 nucleotides) under uncultured Anaerolineaceae bacterium. RNAcentral's name for it is "partial 16S ribosomal RNA". It matches the Rfam family "Bacterial small subunit ribosomal RNA", at positions 1180 to 1382 of the family's 1533-position model. The record is from RNAcentral. Lineage: Bacteria; Bacillati; Chloroflexota; Anaerolineae; Anaerolineales; Anaerolineaceae.
UGACGUCAAGUCAGCAUGGCCUUUAUAUCCUGGGCUACACACACGCUACAAUGGGAAGGGACAAUAGGUAGCGAAGCCGCGAGGUGGAGCCAAUCCAGCAAAACUUCCCUCAGUUCAGAUUGCAGGCUGCAACUCGCCUGCAUGAAGUUGGAGUUGCUAGUAAACGCAGGUCAGCCAUACUGCGUUGAAUACGUUCCCGGGGCUU